This 435-nucleotide long non-coding RNA is filed under the name Mytilus galloprovincialis (Mediterranean mussel). Lineage: Eukaryota; Metazoa; Mollusca; Bivalvia; Mytilida; Mytilidae. The record is from RNAcentral.
UGUGUGUGUGUGUGUUUGUUUGUUUGUUUGUUUGUUUGUUUGUUUGUGUAAGGGGUCUAUAUUAUUGUGUUACCGGAGAAGUUUCAUGUUUAGUUUGGAAAAGUUUUUUAUUUUGUUUCAGGUCCCGCGCGCGACUCUGGCGCCAGAUUGAGGAGACAUCGCGUGACGCGGGUUUAUAAUAUAAACGAAAACUUAGUAUUUUUAUUUCUUUUUAGGUGGGGAUGUUGAACAGACAACAUGUAUAGAGACGGAAUGCACACAAUGUAAUUUCUUUUGUCAUUGUAUGAAAUUGACAUUUUGAUCACAGUUCACGGGCAGUGCAUGCUUUGGGUUUAAACGAUACGGUGAAACUUUAAAACACGUUUAAUGAUUAUUUUCUUAUAAUGUACAUUUUUCAGCACCAGUUUGUAACACAGAUUAGUAUUUCAAUCUAGG